CUUUAGACAAAUGUGCUAUUGAGAUAUUGAGCCCUUAUGGUAUCUCGUAAACAUUCCGAGGAUAUUAUUAUUUCAUUGAAGAAUUAUAGGAAAGAAACCCCUAGAUAUAUUAACUUGAGCAACAAUAGGGCAAUAAUAGGCGUAGGAAAUACCAAUAGAACUUACGUCGAUCAAAGCAGGAUAUUGGUUAAAAAUUCGUAAUCACCUGAAACCACAUAGGAAAAAGAUAAAAUUAGUUUCACAAAAAAAAAAGAGAUUAAAAUCAUUUCCUGAAUCAUAUUUCAGAAACUUCAACCAUAAAUGAUAAAUUGUUAUUACUGAUAUACUAAUCUAAUAAUGAACAUAAAGAUUAAAAUAUUUUUCCUUCCAGUGUUUUUCCCCAAUUAACUAAGAAGAAUAAAGAUGCUCUAGCAUAUAGUGACAAAUAAAGUUUGAUGUACACAUUGAAAAUUAUCGAAAGGAAGAAAUAAAGUAAAAAUGAAGAUAAAACAAGGAGAUAGAAACAUACCUUCUCUGAUGGAUGAUGAAGGAGUUGGGAAAUUGGAGAGGGUUUGGACUUUGGCGGAUGAAGAGAUAAAACAAGGUGAGGAGCUAGGUUUUGG
Molecule: long non-coding RNA, 602 nt
Filed under: Nicotiana benthamiana
Lineage: Eukaryota; Viridiplantae; Streptophyta; Magnoliopsida; Solanales; Solanaceae
Description: long non-coding RNA (NBEN_LNC041929)
Source: RNAcentral